UACGAAGGGGGCUAGCGUUACUCGGAAUUACUGGGCGUAAAGGGCGCGUAGGCGGCGUUCCAAGUUAGGCGUGAAAGUCCUGGGCUCAACCUGGGAACUGCGCUUAAGACUGGAGUGCUAGAGGCUGGAAGAGGGCCGUGGAAUUCCCAGUGUAGAGGUGAAAUUCGUAGAUAUUGGGAAGAACACCGGUGGCGAAGGCGGCGACCUGGUCCAUUACUGACGCUGAGGCGCGACAGCGUGGGGAGCAAACAGG
RNAcentral lists this ribosomal RNA (253 nucleotides) under uncultured bacterium. Its description in RNAcentral is "partial 16S ribosomal RNA". It matches the Rfam family "Bacterial small subunit ribosomal RNA", at positions 524 to 776 of the family's 1533-position model. The record is from RNAcentral.